AAGGUUAGCACUCCCCUUGACAAGGAUGGAAGAGGCCCUCGGGCCUGACAACAUGCAUACAGUUAAGGCAUUGCCACCUACUUUGUGGCAUCUAACCACUGUUUUUU
RNAcentral lists this non-coding RNA (107 nucleotides) under Castor canadensis (American beaver). The record is from RNAcentral. Lineage: Eukaryota; Metazoa; Chordata; Mammalia; Rodentia; Castoridae.